AUCUUUUUUUCUAUUUAAGCAACUAAUUUAAAUUCCGAAGAAUUAUAUGUUGAGAAUUUGUAUGUUAGUCAGAUGAAAAGACGCAUCCUAGAAACAGGUCCUACCGAUCUAACAGAAAAGAAAAAGAUUGAGAGAGAUCUAGAAAGCCUCAAGAAAGAAAGAGCCAAAUUAAAAAAGAAUGUGUGCAAUUCAGUUGUAGAAAGUGAUGUCAAUUUUGAAAAUGAGCCUUUUAAUCGUAUUUUGAAAAGUGCUAAAAAAAAGCGCAUUAUUAAUAGCCUUGAAAAACUAAGACAUUAUUCCAGUGAACGACAGUAUUUGUCUUCAUUGAUGAAAAAGU
Long non-coding RNA from Patella vulgata (common limpet), 337 nucleotides. RefSeq lists it as uncharacterized. NCBI's taxonomy places the organism in Eukaryota, Metazoa, Mollusca, Gastropoda, Patellidae. The transcript is spliced from 3 exons. The record is from RefSeq and is a predicted model, not a curated record.